CCCUGCCAUUUGUACACACCGCCCGUCGCUACUACCGAUUGAAUGGCUCAGUGAGGCCUUCGGACUGGCCCAGGGAGGUCGGCAACGACCACCCAGGGCCGGAAAGUUCGUCAAACUUGGUCAUUUAG
RNAcentral lists this ribosomal RNA (128 nucleotides) under uncultured eukaryote. RNAcentral's name for it is "partial small subunit ribosomal RNA". It matches the Rfam family "Eukaryotic small subunit ribosomal RNA", at positions 1651 to 1776 of the family's 1831-position model. The record is from RNAcentral.